UUAAGUCCCAUAACGAGCGCAACCCUCAUCGUUAGUUGCCAUCUGGUAAAGCAGGGGACUCUAGCGAAACUGCCACCGUAAGGUGAGAGGAAGUGGGAUGACGUCAAAUCAGCACGGCCCUUAUGUCCAGGGCUACACACGUGUUACAAUGGCCGGUACAGAGGGCAGCUACCUGGUGACAGGAUGCUAAUCUCGAAAACCGGUCUCAGUUCGGAUCGAAGUCUGCAACUCGACUUCGUGAAGCUGGAUUCGCUAGUAAUCGCGCAUCAGCCAUGGCGCGGUGAAUACGUUCCCGGGCCUU
This 301-nucleotide ribosomal RNA is filed under the name uncultured Sphingobacteriales bacterium. Its description in RNAcentral is "bacterial SSU rRNA". It matches the Rfam family "Bacterial small subunit ribosomal RNA", at positions 1080 to 1382 of the family's 1533-position model. The record is from RNAcentral. Lineage: Bacteria; Pseudomonadati; Bacteroidota; Sphingobacteriia; Sphingobacteriales.